Molecule: long non-coding RNA, 516 nt
Filed under: Heterocephalus glaber (naked mole-rat)
Lineage: Eukaryota; Metazoa; Chordata; Mammalia; Rodentia; Bathyergidae
Description: lncRNA (ENSHGLG00100034099.1)
Source: RNAcentral
CUCUUAUAUUCUCUCAAGGGCUUGAAGCAGUUUCAUUUUACUACAAGUUCCUGCAAGAAAAUCUCCAAAUUCCAGUGGCCUGGCUUUAUCAGCUUUUCCCUCAAGUUUGAAUGAUCCUGCACAGACUUACUGUAAUUUCAUUUGAAGCCAGUUUUCUCUCAUCCAGCUUCAUCUUCCAGCACAUGAGCUCAUGACUUUUGUAUGAUUUCAAUAUGAAGUCAUCAGCUGGGCCCCAGUUUCCUGGAUGGGCUUUAAACCCUCAGGAUCCUUUGAAUAAACCAGUGCUGCAUGAAGUGAGAAGCUUACUCCAUCACAUGUCUCCCACCGUGAUCUACUGCCUCACCACAGACCCAGAAACAACAUGGCCUAGGAACCAUGUCCUGAAAUCUCUACAACUACUCGAUGUGGUGAGCAGCUUCCUUUGCAUGUGCUUUUGCCAUGACAUCCUGUCUCACCACAGGCCAAAAAGCAACUGUCCAUGGACUGGAACCCCUGAGACUAUGAGCCAAAAUAAAU